Molecule: ribosomal RNA, 492 nt
Filed under: uncultured bacterium
Lineage: Bacteria
Description: partial 16S ribosomal RNA
Rfam family: Bacterial small subunit ribosomal RNA
Source: RNAcentral
AGUGAACGCUGGCGGUAGGCCUAACACAUGCAAGUCGAACGGCAGCACAGUAAGAGCUUGCUCUUACGGGUGGCGAGUGGCGGACGGGUGAGGAAUACAUCGGAAUCUACCUUUUCGUGGGGGAUAACGUAGGGAAACUUACGCUAAUACCGCAUACGACCUACGGGUGAAAGCAGGGGAUCUUCGGACCUUGCGCGAUUGAAUGAGCCGAUGUCGGAUUAGCUAGUUGGCGGGGUAAAGGCCCACCAAGGCGACGAUCCGUAGCUGGUCUGAGAGGAUGAUCAGCCACACUGGAACUGAGACACGGUCCAGACUCCUACGGGAGGCAGCAGUGGGGAAUAUUGGACAAUGGGCGCAAGCCUGGUCCGGCCAUACCGCGUGGGUGAAGAAGGCCUUCGGGUUGUAAAGCCCUUUUGUUGGGAAAGAAAAGCAGCAGGUUAAUACCCCGCUGUUCUGACGGUACCCAAAGAAUAAGCACCGGCUAACUUCGUG